CCCUGGUGGCGAGUGGCGAACGGGUGAGUAAUACAUCGGAACGUGCCCAGUCGUGGGGGAUAACUACGCGAAAGCGUAGCUAAUACCGCAUACGAACUCUGGUUGAAAGCGGGGGAUCGCAAGACCUCGCGCGAUUGGAGCGGCCGAUGGCAGAUUAGGUAGUUGGUGGGGUAAAGGCCUACCAAGCCUGCGAUCUGUAGCUGGUCUGAGAGGACGACCAGCCACACUGGGACUGAGACACGGCCCAGACUCCUACGGGAGGCAGCAGUGGGGAAUUUUGGACAAUGGGCGCAAGCCUGAUCCAGCCAUUCCGCGUGCAGGAUGAAGGCCCUCGGGUUGUAAACUGCUUUUGUACGGAACGAAAAGGUCUCUUCUAAUACAGGGGGCUCAUGACGGUACCGUAAGAAUAAGCACCGGCUAACUACGUGCCAGCAGCCGCGGUGAUACGUAGGGUGCAAGCGUUAAUCGGAAUUACUGGGCGUAAAGCGUGCGCAGGCGGUGAUGUAAGACAGAUGUGAAAUCCCCGGGCUCAACCUGGGAACUGCAUUUGUGACUGCAUCGCUGGAGUGCGGCAGAGGGGGAUGGAAUUCCGCGUGUAGCAGUGAAAUGCGUAGAUAUGCGGAGGAACACCGAUGGCGAAGGCAAUCCCCUGGGCCUGCACUGACGCUCAUGCACGAAAGCGUGGGGAGCAAACAGGAUUAGAUAUCCUGGUAGUCCACGCCCUAAACGAUGUCAACUGGUUGUUGGGUCUUCACUGACUCAGUA
RNAcentral lists this ribosomal RNA (765 nucleotides) under uncultured Ramlibacter sp. Its description in RNAcentral is "bacterial SSU rRNA". It matches the Rfam family "Bacterial small subunit ribosomal RNA", at positions 83 to 845 of the family's 1533-position model. Lineage: Bacteria; Pseudomonadati; Pseudomonadota; Betaproteobacteria; Burkholderiales; Comamonadaceae. The record is from RNAcentral.